GGGGAAGUGUCGGAACAGGCAGACGAGCCCCGUUUAGGGCGGGGUGGAGCAAUCCGUGGGGGUUCGAAUCCCCCCUUCCCCA
Molecule: transfer RNA, 82 nt
Filed under: Chloroflexota bacterium
Lineage: Bacteria; Bacillati; Chloroflexota
Description: Chloroflexi bacterium (groundwater metagenome) tRNA-Leu
Rfam family: tRNA
About the family: Transfer RNA (tRNA) molecules are approximately 80 nucleotides in length.
Source: RNAcentral